UACGAAGGGGGCUAGCGUUGUUCGGAAUUACUGGGCGUAAAGCGCGCGCAGGCGGUUUUUCAAGUCAGUGGUGAAAGCCCGGAGCUCAACUCCGGAACUGCCAUUGAAACUGUAAACUUGAGGACGAGAGAGGUGAGUGGAAUUCCCAGUGUAGAGGUGAAAUUCGUAGAUAUUGGGAAGAACACCUGUGGCGAAAGCGGCUCACUGGACCACAACUGACGCUGAGGCGCGAAAGCUAGGGGAGCAAACAGG
This 252-nucleotide ribosomal RNA is filed under the name uncultured bacterium. Its description in RNAcentral is "partial 16S ribosomal RNA". It matches the Rfam family "Bacterial small subunit ribosomal RNA", at positions 524 to 776 of the family's 1533-position model. The record is from RNAcentral.